CAAAGGGUAGCGCUACAUGCUUUUCAUCACAAAGCAAUCACAUCAUGGGGUAGAGGGAAGGAUUCUCCUCAUUUACAAAACUAAGCUAGCAUUAGUGGAGGAGGCAGUAAAAGGCAUGAACUUCCAUUUUCUGCGGAAGUCCAAGGCAGCACUCUUUCUUUCUCUGGCUGACAGGACUUCACAGGAGCUGCCUACUGUCUGGAUCACUGUCUUCCCAGCAGGGCUGAUGUCUGUGACAAAGUUUUUUGAUUCUGAUUCCCAGAAGAUGUGGAGAAUGGACAUUCUGGUGACUAUGACUCAACCUUGGAAGCUGCUGCAAGUCCCAGUUCAGAAGUUCUCCUUCCUCCAGCUUGAUUCAACAGUAGUGUAAAACAAUUCUUGAUCUCUGAACACUGCUCAUUAAUGAGAAAAAAUGGAAAGAAAGAAAGAAAGAAAGAAAGAAAGAAAGAAAGAAAGAAAGAAAAAGAAAGAGAGAGAGAGAGAAAGAAGAAAAGAGAGAGAGAAAGAAAGAA
Cygnus olor (mute swan) is the source of this 512-nucleotide long non-coding RNA. RefSeq lists it as uncharacterized. NCBI's taxonomy places the organism in Eukaryota, Metazoa, Chordata, Aves, Anseriformes, Anatidae. The record is from RefSeq and is a predicted model, not a curated record. The transcript is spliced from 2 exons.